UACAGAGGUCUCAAGCGUUGUUCGGAUUCAUUGGGCGUAAAGGGUGCGUAGGCGAUGAGGUAAGUCGGAUGUGAAAUCCCGGGGCUCAACCCCGGAACUGCAUUCGAUACUGCCUUGCUUGAGCACUGGAGAGGAGACUGGAAUUUACGGUGUAGCAGUGAAAUGCGUAGAUAUCGUAAGGAAGACCAGUGGCGAAGGCGAGUCUCUGGACAGUUGCUGACGCUGAGGCACGAAGGCCAGGGGAGCAAACGGG
This 253-nucleotide ribosomal RNA is filed under the name uncultured bacterium. RNAcentral describes it as "partial 16S ribosomal RNA". It matches the Rfam family "Bacterial small subunit ribosomal RNA", at positions 524 to 776 of the family's 1533-position model. The record is from RNAcentral.